RNAcentral lists this ribosomal RNA (495 nucleotides) under uncultured bacterium. RNAcentral's name for it is "partial 16S ribosomal RNA". It matches the Rfam family "Bacterial small subunit ribosomal RNA", at positions 28 to 507 of the family's 1533-position model. The record is from RNAcentral.
GACGAACGCUGGCGGCGUGCCUAAUACAUGCAAGUAGAACGCUGAAGGAGGAGCUUGCUUCUCCGGAUGAGUUGCGAACGGGUGAGUAACGCGUAGGUAACCUGCCUGGUAGCGGGGGAUAACUAUUGGAAACGAUAGCUAAUACCGCAUAAGAGUAGAUGUCGCAUGACAUUUGCUUAAAAGGUGCAACUGCACCACUACCAGAUGGACCUGCGUUGUAUUAGCUAGUUGGUGAGGUAACGGCUCACCAAGGCAACGAUACAUAGCCGACCUGAGAGGGUGAUCGGCCACACUGGGACUGAGACACGGCCCAGACUCCUACGGGAGGCAGCAGUAGGGAAUCUUCGGCAAUGGACGGAAGUCUGACCGGGCAACGCCGCGUGAGUGAAGAAGGUUUUCGGAUCGUAAAGCUCUGUUGUAAGAGAAGAACGAGUGUGAGAGUGGAAAGUUCACACUGUGACGGUAUCUGACCAGAAAGGGACGGCUAACUACGUG